GAUCUCAAAUCAGGUAGGACUACCCGCUGAACUUAAGCAUAUCAAUAAGCCGGAGG
This 56-nucleotide ribosomal RNA is filed under the name uncultured Thelephoraceae. RNAcentral's name for it is "partial 28S ribsomal RNA". The record is from RNAcentral. Lineage: Eukaryota; Fungi; Basidiomycota; Agaricomycetes; Thelephorales; Thelephoraceae.